This 596-nucleotide long non-coding RNA is filed under the name Oryzias sinensis (Chinese medaka). RNAcentral describes it as "lncRNA (ENSOSIG00000020688.1)". The record is from RNAcentral. Lineage: Eukaryota; Metazoa; Chordata; Actinopteri; Beloniformes; Adrianichthyidae.
AUGAAUUUAUCGGAGAAACGUCCAAAUCCAGCUGCCCUGGAAUCUAAACGAGCUCUGAUAUCAAGAGAAAAUCAGCUGCAACACUUUGGCAUCCAAACCUCUGCCCUGUUUCAAACCGAGGUCACGACUGAAGAGCUUUUUCCAGAAGUGGAGUGUAGCUGCAGCUCCAACAACCCGAUCUUCUGGGAGUUGCUCUAAAUACCUCAUAGCCUCCAGGAAGUGGAAGCAGACGGAGCCCAGGUGUACAACAGCUGACUGGCACAGACACAAGCUCCUUUUGUUGAAGAACCUAUUUUUGUCUGUCCUACAGUCAUCAUCACUGUAUAAACUACACUGUCUUCAACUUUUAGCAAGAAGCUAAUAAAUGCGUUCAGUGAAAGCCCGAGGUCACUAAGUAAAAAAAAGUAAAAAUUUUCAUCAAAGUAGUUUUCCAUUAAUCAAAUGGGCUGUAAUUUAUGGCCAAAGUCAAAAACUGACAGCCCCAACAAGCCAAAUGAAGGUAAAUGAAGUUUCUGGCAGAGUGCUGCUGAAAUAAUUUACAAUUAUCUUGUAAAUGAGAUUCAAUCUUUACAUUAUUAAAAAUGUGUAUAAAUAAG